Molecule: long non-coding RNA, 4187 nt
Filed under: Heterocephalus glaber (naked mole-rat)
Lineage: Eukaryota; Metazoa; Chordata; Mammalia; Rodentia; Bathyergidae
Description: lncRNA (ENSHGLG00000032330.1)
Source: RNAcentral
CGAGUGCCUUAGCCAGGCCAGAGGCUUGCAUUGUGUUGGUGCUGACCAAAGUUACAUAGAUGUUUAGGAAGUUUCUUUUCAGGCUGUGUUAUGGAAAAUGCCCCUUUAGGGUUGUCAAACAAAUAAUUCCCCUGGGUUUGAGGAGGGAUGUGGGAUAGAAAAAUGUAAAAAAGCCUGGACAGAGUAUUGCUACUGCUGCCUUUUUUGUUAUCCUUAAUAACAUUCAUGAUCCUCUGCAAUGCACAGUUUGAAAUUGCCACAACUUAAAGUGACUUCUUCCACAAAUACUAAGAGAUGUAGUUUAAGGGGUUUUAAUUAUAAGGAUAAUAGAGUGACUUAUAAAUUUAAAAAGUAAAUGUUUUUCCUUGGCAUUUAACAUUAUGAUUGAAAUACUUGUAAUUCUAUUUUUUUUUUUUUUUUGGUACUGGGGAUCGAUUGUAAUUCUAAUUUCAAAAAGAAAGUUAAAUGCUGCUUGUGGUCUAGGAUGUUACAAUACUACUACCAGCAUGUCAUUCAUUCUUGCAAAGAGUUGGGAAGAGGAGUAUACGUCUAGAGUUACCCAAGUUCUAAAUAGAUACCAAGAGUAUUGGUUCUGACCUGGAGCCUGUGCAUUUGGAGAAUAUACACAAGAUCUUUUUAAAGGAAAGAAGGGACCACCUUAUGGCCCCAUGAAUUUGAAAGUUUCUAUGUGUGUUUAGCUUUCAAAGGACUGGUUUAUUUGGUAAUCAACCAAAAGCAUUUGAAAUGUACCUUGCUUUCCAAAGGUCACUUUGACUAACUUAUAGAGAAUAAAAGAUAAUAUGAAGGUGUUUAUAUCAAAGACUAUGCUUCCCACUUAUAUUUUUAAUUAGAAGCCUAUUUGUAAUUCUUCAUCAUUCACUUGAGCUUGCUCUCAACUAGACACUGCCUAGAAUAGACAGACCACUCAGUUUUGCUUUGUUACUUCUGAGAUCUUGCCACAUUCAUAUCUCCUUGAUUGCCUUAGAUCUCUCAAAGUAACCCUGAUGCACUGUUUCUUUUUUUCUUUCUUUCUUUUUUUUUGGCCAGGGUCUCACUAUGUAGUUCAGGCUGGCCUUGAACUAGUCACUAUGUAACCCAGGCUGGCCUCUCAGUGAUCUUCCUGCCUCAGCCUCUGAGCGUUGGGAUUACAGGGGAUGUGCCGCCACGCCUGGCUGAGACUUUUGACUUUGGGUUCCCAAAUAAGCCAGAAGUAAGUAGAGAAAUCUGGUUGUGUUGACACCUGUGUUCAGAGUGGCCUUAUUUUGGCCUUAGAAUGGGCUUGGUCCAGCACUCUAUAGGAAAUUUGUGAAGUCAGAAUUUUCUUUGUCCCAUGAGGUAUCUAUGUAAGGUAGCAUGCCCUUUCUUGAACACCCUGUGGGUGAAUAACCUUACUAAGUUAGCUGCCAGUACUACAACCUUCCAGGAAGAAUUUUAACUAGUAUGCUGCAUUUGAAGCACUUUGACAUGUACAUUUAAGGUUACAGUCUUUUUUGUUGUUGUUGUUGGUACUGGGGAUCGAACUCGGGUCCUUGUGGUUGCACAGCAUUCAGCGAAACCACUGAGCUAAAUCCCCGGCCCUAAGGUGACAGUCUUAACAGUAAAAUGGUGUUAAAUUAAUCACUGUGAAACUUGAAAGUGUCAUGCUCUGGACAUUUUAGGAAGCUUGCAUAAACUUCUGAAUUUUCUUUUUUUUUUUUUUUUUUUUAAUUUUCUUUAUUAAUUAUGUGAUCGAUGAUUUGUGUGUUUUAGUUUUCAUCUUUGACAGUGGUACGAGUGAUUGGCAUAAUGGUAGGCAAUUUAGAGUACAGUGUAGAGUAAAUCAUGGUUGUCUCUCUUCCAGAGAAAGUGGUGAUAUGUGUGCUUCUUCCUUGCGUGGAGCCAAGAGAAUUGGAUUUAUGCGCUGAUUCAUCUCUACUGUUUAUAUGGUGCAAAAUAAAUGUAACCUUAUUUUUUAAGCUGCAUGCUAGUAAUAUGCUUUUCUCUUUAAUAAAAAAGCGAGAGAUAGUAAUCUAGCUGGUUUUUGUUCUUCAGCAAGGAUCUGCACUUUUUACAGACAGAUGUUAAAUGAGUUCAUGUUUAGGUAGCAGAAGAAGUUUUACCAUCGGAAUCCCUCUCACAGGUAGCCUACGCAAGGGGUUGUAUUGCAUCUGGUCUGGAAGACCCGGUUCCCAGGACUGGCAAGUGUCACAUGAACUGUCUUUAACAAAGGCUCGUCUCUCUAGGAAAACCAUUUGGACACAACAGAACAGUUGUUCUGCUCUUCCACAGGGCAGUCACCCUGUCUUCCUCUUCAGAGAAUCGUCCUUAGAAAGCUGGGCUCAAAUGAGAGCAGUGCUGUUUUUAAAGCAUGCAGGUUGGAUGAUGGCCUAGAGAACCUAGAAGCUACACUGAAACUGGAGACACUACCCGCUUUGGCAGCACACGCUAACAUUGAAAUCACCGACAACAUGGAAGGCACAGGGAGUGGCUGAGGUGCUGUGAUGCCUUCUGGCUCUUUGGUUGGAGUCUUCUCUCGAGCAGUUUCUGAGGAUGACAGUUAAAAUUAGAACUGAUUUUGGGUUUUCAUCAAACUACCCACAAUUCACCAUGAAUUCUAGAUUGUGAUAUUUUUAAUGAACACUUUUUAAUAUCCAGCAAGUAAGCCCUUGACAUAAUGUGCUUGGAUAAUACUUGAUUUUACUAACCAGGUUAUAAAAGUCUGAUUUAAUUUUGCAUGAUCUGUGAAUGCUGCAUUAUAAAUCUGUUAUUCAGUAUCACACUUUGAGCUUAAUAACUACUACUUGAGACUGCUUAUAAUAUAAACAUUUUUUAAAGAUUAUUUUACUUAAACCGCUUAAUCUCAUGAGAGCAAUGAUUUAGGAGACAAAGACCCAGCUAUGUGUAAUGAUUUGCUCAUUUCAAAAUAGCCCAAGAGGGCCAGGUAUUUAGCUCAGUGGUUUAGCCGCGUGCUGCGCAAGCACAAGGACCCGAGUUUGAUCCCUGGUACCAAAAAAGAAAAAAAAUAGCCCAAGAAAGCAGAAUUUAUUGUUGAGACUCAAGUUGCAAAAAACAUGGCAUUUCCUCUGGGAAGGGGAAGGUAACGGUUAAUUACCCAGCCGCCUGCCUUCUUUACUUUCCUUCCCAUCUAACACAGUAGAUUAAACUGUGGCUACUUGCAGAAAAGAAAAUUAAUAUUUUUCUUCUAAGUAAAAGUGACUGAGACUUUAUUGCCCUGUGACUAAGACUAUGUAGCAGGAAUCUGGCUAAGUCAGUUAUUGAGGGUUUGCGUGGCCCUGGUAGAGUUGGCCCUCAGGGUUAUUCUGAAAUGAGAGACCAAUUCCAUUCCUUCUCAGGUACAUAGAGACAGCUCCGCUAGAGCAGGUGGAAUGUGCUUGGUGCAAAUAGAGUAUAUAAUUAGCAAGAUGAAGAGGAGCAUAAGAUCUUCUUUUCCCUUUCAGGCAUAAUUGGACAUAUCAGUAACUGGUCUAAGAUUUGCUGUGGCUGUAGUAAAUAAUGUAUUUAUUUUAGCUGGUUAUGUGUGCUCUCUGUAUAUAUAUAUAUCUAACGUGCAUACACUCUGCGUAUGUAUGUAUGAUACCAUGUAUGUACAGAGUCUACUCUAGAUUAUCAGCCACAUGGAAAGCCCCUCUUAGUUUGUUUAUUGAUGUGGAAUUGGUGUGCAUGUGGCCCGUCACUCUGGCGCCUCCUUCCGGUCUAGAGCCGCAGCCUUUCUUCCUGGCCGUUCAUCUCAGUCUUUGAGAAAGCCCUUUAAACGUGUCACUUUCCACGUCCUUUUAACCCCGGGAUCCUGUGAGCCAAAAGACAGCUUCCGAGAAUGCUGGCUGCUUCCACCAGGGCAGAGGCCUCUGGGUCUGCACAGUCAGGGGCGCAGUCCUGGCCCCGAGAGCAGCUGUGUGAGCAGCGGAGCCCAUGGGCUUGCAGAGGGAGGCCUCUCAACGCUUGUAGAAACAGCUUUGCGACUUGCUUCAGUUACUUUGCUCCAGUGUGAAGUCUCAGGUAACUUGAUGUAGAGUAUGACAGUGCAUCUCAAUGUUAAUUUUGCAUUAUCUGUACUACUGUUGUUCCCUGCUGCUAGCCCAGAUAAUCAAGACCUGACUGUUUCUCAUCACUGGAUUGUGGAAACCUUGACCUUUCAACUGGAUUUAUGUUUAUUUCUGCUGCUGUGAACCCCAAAAAUAAUGCAGUAG